ACGAACGCUGGCGGCGUGCUUAACACAUGCAAGUCGAACGAUGAACCGGGUGCUUGCACCUGGGGAUUAGUGGCGAACGGGUGAGUAACACGUGAGUAACCUGCCCUGGACUCUGGGAUAACCCCGAGAAAUCGGAGCUAAUACCGGAUAGGACCUGGAACCGCAUGGUUUUGGGUGGAAAGUUUUUUCGGUCUGGGAUGGACUCGCGGCCUAUCAGCUUGUUGGUGAGGUAAUGGCUCACCAAGGCGUCGACGGGUAGCCGGCCUGAGAGGGUGACCGGCCACACUGGGACUGAGACACGGCCCAGACUCCUACGGGAGGCAGCAGUGGGGAAUAUUGCACAAUGGGCGAAAGCCUGAUGCAGCAACGCCGCGUGAGGGAUGACGGCCUUCGGGUUGUAAACCUCUUUUAGUAGGGAAGAAGGGCUUCGGCUUGACGGUACCUGCAGAAAAAGCACCGGCUAACUACGU
This 470-nucleotide ribosomal RNA is filed under the name uncultured bacterium. RNAcentral's name for it is "bacterial SSU rRNA". It matches the Rfam family "Bacterial small subunit ribosomal RNA", at positions 29 to 506 of the family's 1533-position model. The record is from RNAcentral.